This is a long non-coding RNA of Rattus rattus (black rat), 485 nucleotides long. RefSeq lists it as uncharacterized. The record is from RefSeq and is a predicted model, not a curated record. NCBI's taxonomy places the organism in Eukaryota, Metazoa, Chordata, Mammalia, Rodentia, Muridae. The transcript is spliced from 3 exons.
AACCCGCAAGCACUCGAGGAGGGAGCAGGGGCUGGAGUGAAUUUAGAAGGAGGGGCUGGAGGAUCGGAAGCCGAGCACGGGGUGAAUCCCCUGGGAGAGCCCAACCUGGGUGUGACUCAUCCCUGUCCCCAAUAUCACCCUGUUGUGGGUGGGGCUCUCUGGAGUCCUGCAAAGAUGUCAGUGAUUGAGUCAAGGCUGACUUGGCCCUCGAGUCCACUUUCCGAUGCCCAGGAGCCUGAACAUCAAGUUGAGAUCUGCUCCCUGGAACAGCCCUUCCCUGUGGUGUUGUAAUGUGAGCAGGACUGUCUGUGCCCCAUCCUCUUGGGGGUGAAGAGUAGAUGUGUGACUUGCUGGGGAUGUUAAGUGACAAUAGUAACCAGAGCUGCAGGGAGGAAGCAGAUGGCACUAAUGAACCAAUGGUGCUCUCAUCGGAGUGCCCGGGAGAUGGUUCAGUGGGUAGGGUAGUUGCUGUGCAAACCUGAGGA